CUGCUCCCCUCACACCCCAUCUAGCCAAUCGGAUGCAGGUCCGAUUUACCUUCUCUGCGAUAGGUUCACUGGCUGGCUCUCACUCAGGAGAAAAUAAUUUAACAUUUAGGCCUAAAUUAAACUCUUUUUUUCUCCCAGAAAAGAAAAAAAAGACUUUUCUCUCUUUUUCUUAAAACAACAUGGACGCCAGACCUGUCAACCUGGCCCUGCUCGCUCAGACCCCUGUAACCAGCUACAGAGCUUCCGCGACACCAGCGCAACUCACACGAAUGCAUCUUUGUAGGGUUCAGCCAGCACCGGCUAACCCAAUGUAGGACAGAAUCCGUCUCAGCUCCGGCGGAUUUUGGGGCUAUGCCUUCAGCCUCAGAGAGAGCGAAAUCUAUUUCUAUCAGCUAAAAGCAGGUGAAAGUUUUGGCCCGCUGACACCUCGGAUUGCCUUUACUUCGUCUGAUUGGGGUGUUUUGAGCCUCAUCGCGACGCCCGAAGUGCAGAAGAGCCUGCGGGAAACGAGCUCGCAACAACCACGAACCAGGGAUCAACGACAACUGCCGUCGCUUUCGCUAUGUGCAUAUCACUCGACUCUGAUUUAAGCCAGAUGUGUUAACCUGAUCCCUGCGAAACACCAGCUCUGCGUGGAUUUUGACCGCGAGAAACCGGAUGUUGUUUCCGGCCUGAGGUUGCCUGAAAUGCCGUGAGGCUCGUUUGAAAGAUUGCGCCCGAGACCAACUCCGCCUCCAAGGCGUGCCUACCUUUAGCUGCCACCAGUGAGAUAUCAGAGCCGGGCUCCACAUAUCCAAUCAGGAGCAUGAGGAAGACAGCUUUUGCAGACUCUCCAGAAAUAUACAAAUCCUUACCAACUGCUCUGCAACCCAGUGUUUCUGGUCCCCUCACUAACAUCGCUUUUUGAGAUAUUUUUUAUGAGCCACCCAAAGAGCCAUUUUACCCCCCAGUACAGAAGACUGGAUCUGAGGGCAGCAGCAGCGGGGACAAAUGCUUGUAAUGAAGCGACGGACAUUUCAUGGCUGAUCUUAGAUAAUCGUGAGUUAUUGUGUCUUAUGGUGAAAAGUAGUUUUGCAAGAGGCAUGCAAGCACUGUGGAAAAGUAAUCGUGUGUAAGUCCUCUAAAACUGUUUUUUGUGAACACUUUGCUCCCCACGUUAUGCUUUAAAAAAUUUGAUACAUGUAAUGUGAUCAUCAAAGAACAUGAGUUUUUAAAAAGACUUUUAUUCUUAUGCUUUUAAAACUAUGUCAGAUUAUCAUAAAACACUUAUUUGUAUGUUAUAAUGUUUUUCUUACACCAUGUGUAAUUUUUAUAGACACCUUGUUCAUUGUAUCAAUGUGUAAUUAUGUAUCUUUGAUAAAUAAAUAAAAUAUUUAAUCUUG
Long non-coding RNA from Oreochromis niloticus (Nile tilapia), 1382 nucleotides. RefSeq lists it as uncharacterized. Lineage: Eukaryota; Metazoa; Chordata; Actinopteri; Cichliformes; Cichlidae. The transcript has 2 exons. The record is from RefSeq and is a predicted model, not a curated record.